Molecule: long non-coding RNA, 1861 nt
Filed under: Prunus dulcis (almond)
Lineage: Eukaryota; Viridiplantae; Streptophyta; Magnoliopsida; Rosales; Rosaceae
Description: sRNA ncRNA
Source: RNAcentral
GGAACAAAAAAAAAUAAAAACAUCAUCUUUUUUAUUUCUUUUAAUUCUUGCGCGACGAAUACAUACGUCUCGCAAACACUUUGUGCGCGACGAAAAGUUUCGUCGCGCAUGUUAGCUGGGGCGACGAAAUAUACUUUCGUCGCGCAAAUAUAAGAGCGACGAAAUCUUUCUCAUCGCGCGAAUGGUUCUGCGGCGAACUUCUGCGUCUCCGAACACGUUUUGCGCGACGAUAUAUUUUCGUCGCGCAAAGAUAUGUGCGUCGAAUACUGGAUCGUCGCGCAAAGUUUAUGCGACGAACUGUUGUUCCGUCUCCAUACCGUUGGUGCAACGCUGGUUUACCCGUCGCACAGUCUUGCGCGACGAAUGGAUGUACCUCGUCGCGCAAAGGCUUUCUUCACGAUCUUCGCGCGACGGAAUACGCGCGACGAAUUUUUUGUCGCGCUGAUGUUAGUGCGACAACAUUCGACUUUGCGCGACGUUUUGUUAUGCGUCGCGCAAAGACUAAAAUGUAGUAGUGGAAGGUGUUUUUGGUGGGCCUGGUAUUAGCAAUCCCAUCUAAGAUUAGGAUUAGAUGAAACAAACAUGAUACUAAAUUUAGUCCAAGCCUGUGUAACAAACGACCCCUUAGAGUCUAGAGACUCGUUCUCCCCCUCCAAACCUAUCCAAACAUCAUCCAAUUUCAUUGGUUUUUGGAGCGAAUCCUUGCAAAUUGUGGAGGGCUCUAGUUCAUUCUAAGGUAAAUUUGUAUGUAUUUCUGUGUCUCAAUCUCUGUGUGUUGCUUGUUUCAUCUUGCUUCAAGCUUUGGUUUUGUUAUGAAUGAUAACUUUUUUCUGCUUUAAUGUCUGCGUGUUUGAAGAUAGGAUUUUUAUCUUAAAUGUUUCUUUUUCCCUAUGAUAUGUAAUUAUUACAUUUUUGUCACCCAUAUUCUUACGACGGAAAUAUUUGCCUUCUGUUAUUCUCUUGGAUGUUUUAGAUCUGCACGCAGUUCUUGCAGCAAGAAUCAUGUAGGUACAGGGUAGAUGUGCGACAUAUAAUUAGCAGCCUCGGUUACUAGUUUGUAACAUUUUAAUGAACAUGGAGGAAUUAGAUGUUUCCAGAUUUGUAGUGAUAAGGCAUUACCUUUCUUCUUUUCAUCAUAGGUACUUAAAAUUCAUUACCAUGGCCUUAGUUUUUUCAGUUUGUUAUGUUAGGGAGUGGGUCUCCAACUGGCGGAAGGUUUAAGAUUGACAUCAACUGUCAAGAAUCAUUGUACAUUUAAGAUUACAAAUAUCCAUGUAGAAUUCGAAAGCCAAGAGUUAAAAUUAUGAGAAUUUGAUAAUGGAGAAAUAUAAAUUGUGUAGUUAGAUUUGGUUUAGUUCCCGCUUUCAAUAUAAUUGAAUCCAAUGUAGACCAUGAACGUAUGUAGCCAUUAGUUUUGUUGGAACUUGAUAGUAUUGCUGAAAUAUUGAAGGAGGAUUAUCCCUCUCUCUUGAACUGGUUAUCUAUUCUGGUAGAUUCUCUCUCUCCUCUCUCUAAUGCCGAUGCUUUUAUUUGGCAGAUAAUGUGAUUAAGGAGGCUUACAAAGGCAGACAUAGGCCCAUAAAGGGUGUUUUAUUUGGAGCUUCUAAUUCAUUGAUGUUAGAUAUGUUCAGUUUUAAGUACCAAGUUUUGUUUUUUUUUUUGUUUUUUUUCAGUUAUUGUAUCUAAUCACUAUAUUAAAUGGAAAUGAAAUUUCACUUUGUUAUUUAAUAUAUACAUUAAAUAAUAUUAUAUAUAUAUAUAUAUAUAUUGAAAAGGUCUGAAAUACCAUACUAUAUUAAGUGGAAAUGAAAUUUCAGUGUGUAAUUUUUUUUAUUUAUUUAAACAAUUGGCAUUGAGUACA